GUGGCGUAAGGGCGAGUAACGCGUGGGUAAUCUACCUCUAAGUUGGGGAUAACCCGGCGAAAGCUGGGCUAACACCGAAUGUGGUCAUCCCCCGAUGGGGGAAGGAUCAAAGGCGGGGAUUCUUCGGAACCUGCCGCUUGGAGAGGAGCCUGCGUGCCAUCAGCUUGUUGGUAGGGUAACGGCCUACCAAGGCUAACGGCUAGCUGGUCUGAGAGGACGACCAGCCGCACUGGGACUGAGACACUGCCCAGACUCCUACGGGAGGCUGCAGUCGAGGAUCUUGGACAAUGGGGGAAACCCUGAUCCAGCGACGCUGCGUGGAGGAUGAAGGCCUUCGGGUUGUAAACUCCUGUCAUUCGGGAAAAAUGACUCAGGGGAUAAUACCCCCUGGGAAUGAUGGUACCGGAAGAGGAAGCCACGGCUAACUCUGUGCCAGCAGCCGCGGUAAUACAGAGGUGGCAAGCGUUGUUCGGAUUUACUGGGCGUAAAGGGUGCGUAGGUGGUUGUCUGUGUCGAGUGUGAAAUCCCAAGGCUCAACCUUGGAAUGGCGCUCGAAACUGGACGACUAGAGUACAGGAGGGGAGAGCGGAAUUCUUGGUGUAGCGGUGAAAUGCGUUGAUAUCAAGAAGAACACCGGUGGCGAAGGCGGCUCUCUGGAAUGUUACUGACACUGAGGCACGAAAGCUGGGGGAGCAAACAGGAUUAGAUACCCUGGUAGUCCCAGCUGUAAACGGUGCGCACUUGGUGUGGGGGGAAUUGACCCCCUCCGUGCCGGAGCUAACGCGUUAAGUGCGCCGCCUGGGGAGUACGGUCGCAAGACUAAAACUCAAAGAAAUUGACGGGGGCCCGCACAAGCGGAGGAGCAUGUGGCUCAAUUCGAUGCAACGCGAAGAACCUUACCAGGGCUUGACAUGCAGCUGCACGUCCCGUGAAAGCGGGAUUCCUUCGAGGGUGCUGCACAGGUGCUGCAUGGCUGUCGUCAGUUCGUGCCGUGAGGUGUUGGGUUAAGUCCCGCAACGAACGCAACCCCUGUGUUUAGUUGCUACCGGGUCAUGCCGGGCACUCUAAACAGACUGCCUGUAUAAAACAGGAGGAAGGUGGGGACGACGUCAAGUCAGUAUGGCCCUUACGCCCUGGGCUGCACACGUGCUACAAUGGCCGGUACAGAGGGAUGCAAGACCGCGAGGUGGAGCAAAUCCCCAAAACCGGCCCCAGUUCGGAUUGAAGGCUGAAACUCGCCUUCAUGAAGUUGGAUUCGCUAGUAAUGGCGCAUCAGCUACGGCGCCGUGAAUACGUUCCCGGGCCUUGUACACACCGCCCGUCACAUCAUGAAAGCCGUCUGCACCCGAAGUCGCUGAUUCAACCCGCAAGGGGGAUAGGUGCCUAAGGUGUGGGUGGUGAUUGGGAUGAAGUCGUAACAAGGUA
Molecule: ribosomal RNA, 1425 nt
Filed under: metagenome
Description: bacterial SSU rRNA
Rfam family: Bacterial small subunit ribosomal RNA
Source: RNAcentral